RNAcentral lists this ribosomal RNA (372 nucleotides) under uncultured organism. RNAcentral describes it as "bacterial SSU rRNA". It matches the Rfam family "Bacterial small subunit ribosomal RNA", at positions 526 to 896 of the family's 1533-position model. The record is from RNAcentral.
CAGAGGUCUCGAGCGUUAGUCGGAGUCACUGGGCUUAAAGCGUACGUAGGCGGGCAUGCAGGCGUCGUGUGAAAUCCCUCGGCUCAACCGGGGAACUGCGCGGCGAACCGCAUGUCUUGAGAAAGGUAGGGGCGGUCGGAACGAUAGGUGGAGUGGUGAAAUGCGUUGAUAUCUAUCGGAACGCCGAAGGUGAAGACAGGCCGCUGGGCCUUUUCUGACGCUGAGGUACGAAAGCGUGGGUAGCGAACGGGAUUAGAUACCCCGGUAGUCCACGCCGUAAACGAUGUGCACUAGAUCGAGGAGGAUCUGACUCUGUUCUCGGUCGAAGUAAAACGUUGAGUGCACCGUCUGGGGAGUACGGUCGCAAGGCUA